UAAACGGCUUUUUUCAGAGCCACAAGGUGUUUUUAAAACGUUUUGU
Non-coding RNA from Operophtera brumata (winter moth), 46 nucleotides. The record is from Rfam. Lineage: Eukaryota; Metazoa; Arthropoda; Insecta; Lepidoptera; Geometridae.